Molecule: ribosomal RNA, 801 nt
Filed under: uncultured archaeon
Lineage: Archaea
Description: bacterial SSU rRNA
Rfam family: Archaeal small subunit ribosomal RNA
Source: RNAcentral
CCCUUUUCCGGUUGAUCCUGCCGGACCCGACUGCUAUCAGAGUGAGAUUAAGCCAUGCGAGUCAACGUAUGAAUAAUACGUGGCGAACGGCUCAGUAACACGUAGUCAACAUGCCCAGAGGACGUGGAUAACCUCGGGAAACUGAGGAUAAACCGCGAUAGGUCAUAAUUACUGGAAUGUGUUAUGGCCCAAAUCUAUAUGGCCUCUGGAUUGGACUGCGGCCGAUCAGGCUGUUGGUGAGGUAAUGGCCCACCAAACCUUUUACCGGUACGGGCUCUGAGAGGAGGUGCCCGGAGAUGGGCACUGAGACAAGGGCCCAGGCCCUAUGGGGCGCAGCAGGCGCGAAACCUCUGCAAUAGGCGAAAGCCUGACAGGGUUACUCUGAGUGAUUCCCGCUAAGGGAAUCUUUUGGCAUCUCUAAAAAUGGUGCAGAAUAAGGGGUGGGCAAGUCUGGUGUCAGCCGCCGCGGUAAUACCAGCACCCCGAGUGGUCGGGACGAUUAUUGGGCCUAAAGCAUCCGUAGCCGGUCUUGCAAGUCUUCCGUUAAAUCCAGCUGCUUAACAGAUGGGCUGCGGAGGAUACUACAAGGCUAGGAGGCGGGAGAGGCAAGCGGUACUCAGUGGGUAGGGGUAAAAUCCUCUGAUCCAAUGAAGACCACCAGUGGCGAAGGCGGCUUGCCAGAACGCGCUCGACGGUGAGGGAUGAAAGCUGGGGGAGCAAACCGGAUUAGAUACCCGGGUAGUCCCAGCUGUAAACGAUGCAGACUCGGUGAUGGGCCGGCUUUAUGCCGGCUCAGUGCCG